AGAGUUUGAUCAUGGCUCAGAAUCAACGCUGGCGGCGCGCUUAACACAUGCAAGUCGCACGAGAAAGCAGGAGCAAUCCUGUAAGUACAGUGGCGUACGGGUGAGUAACACGUGGAUUAUCUGCCCUGGAGUGGGGAAUAACGCUGGGAAACCGGCGCUAAUACCGCAUAUUCCCGAGAGGGGAAAGCAGCAAUGCGCUCGAGGAGGAGUCCGCGGCUGAUUAGCUGGUUGGUAGGGUAACGGCCUACCAAGGCUUUGAUCGGUAGCCGGCCUGAGAGGGCACACGGCCACACUGGCACUGAAACACGGGCCAGACUCCUACGGGAGGCAGCAGUGGGGAAUCUUGCACAAUGGGGGCAACCCUGAUGCAGCGACGCCGCGUGAGCGAUGAANNCCUUCGGGGUGUAAAGCUCUUUCAGCAGGGAAGAUUAUGACGGUACCUGCAGAAGCAGCUGCGGCUAACUACGUGCCAGCAGCCGCGGUAAUACGUAGGCAGCGAGCGUUGUUCGGAGUUACUGGGCGUAAAGGGUGUGUAGGCGGUUCUUUAAGUUUGGUGUGAAAUCUCCCGGCUCAACCGGGAGGGUGCGCCGAAUACUGAGGGACUAGAGUGUGGGAGAGGAAAGUGGAAUUCCUGGUGUAGCGGUGAAAUGCGUAGAUAUCAGGAGGAACNNCCGGUGGUGUAGACGGCUUUCUGGACCAUAACUGACGCUGAGACACGAAAGCGUGGGUAGCAAACAGGAUUAGAUACCCUAGUAGUCC
This 759-nucleotide ribosomal RNA is filed under the name uncultured bacterium. RNAcentral's name for it is "bacterial SSU rRNA". It matches the Rfam family "Bacterial small subunit ribosomal RNA", at positions 8 to 796 of the family's 1533-position model. The record is from RNAcentral.